This 253-nucleotide ribosomal RNA is filed under the name uncultured bacterium. RNAcentral describes it as "partial 16S ribosomal RNA". It matches the Rfam family "Bacterial small subunit ribosomal RNA", at positions 524 to 776 of the family's 1533-position model. The record is from RNAcentral.
UACGAAGGGGACUAGCGUUGUUCGGAAUUACUGGGCGUAAAGGGCGCGUAGGCGGUUCGUUAAGUCCUGUGUGAAAUCCCCCGGCUCAACUGGGGAACUGCACAGGAAACUAGCGGGCUUGAGUUCGGGAGAGGGAAGCGGAAUUCCGGGUGUAGCGGUGAAAUGCGUAGAUAUCCGGAGGAACACCGGUGGCGAAGGCGGCUUCCUGGACCGACACUGACGCUGAGGCGCGAAAGCUAGGGGAGCAAACGGG